Molecule: ribosomal RNA, 433 nt
Filed under: uncultured bacterium
Lineage: Bacteria
Description: SSU rRNA
Rfam family: Bacterial small subunit ribosomal RNA
Source: RNAcentral
CUGGAAUUCGGCUUAGAGUUUNAUCCUGGCUCAGAACGAAACGCUGGCGGCAGGCCUAACACAUGCAAGUCGAACGCUCCAGCAAUGGAGAGUGGCAGACGGGUGAGUAACGCGUGGGAACCUUCCCAGUGGUACGGAAUAGCCCAGGGAAACUUGGGGUAAUACCGUAUAAGCCCCUAGGGGGAAAGAUUUAUCGCCAUUGGAUGGGCCCGCGUCGGAUUAGCUAGUUGGUGAGGUAACGGCUCACCAAGGCGACGAUCCGUAGCUGGUCUGAGAGGAUGAUCAGCCACACUGGGACUGAGACACAGGCCCAGACUCCUACGGGAGGCAGCAGUGGGGAAUAUUGGACAAUGGGCGAAAGCCUGAUCCAGCCAUGCCGCGUGAGUGACGAAGGCCUUAGGGUUGUAAAGCUCUUUUGGCGGGGACGCAUAAU